GGGGUCGUGGCGCAAUUGGUUAGCGCACUGGACUGUCGAUCCGGGGGUUGCGGGUUCGAGCCCCGUCGACCCCGCCA
Molecule: transfer RNA, 77 nt
Filed under: Lentisphaerota bacterium
Lineage: Bacteria; Pseudomonadati; Lentisphaerota
Also listed under: 1 other name
Description: Lentisphaerae bacterium (feces metagenome) tRNA-Asp
Rfam family: tRNA
About the family: Transfer RNA (tRNA) molecules are approximately 80 nucleotides in length. Their secondary structure includes four short double-helical elements and three loops (D, anti-codon, and T loops).
Source: RNAcentral